This 862-nucleotide long non-coding RNA is filed under the name Drosophila guanche. Lineage: Eukaryota; Metazoa; Arthropoda; Insecta; Diptera; Drosophilidae. The record is from RNAcentral.
AUCAGAUGUUUGCCCAUUGCGGAGGCGGUCCGAAAUUUUGAAAUACACUUGUAACAGUGUGAGCAUACAGACGUCUGGAUGCAAAACGUAGUUGCCCUAUCGCGUAUGGUCUCUGAGUACUAUUCGCUGAUAAGGACGGACAGACGGACAAGCAGAAAUGGCAAUAUCGACUCGGCUGUUGAUGCUGAUCAAGAAUAUAUAUGUACAUACAUAAACUUUUCAUCGAAAAAUACAAUAUUUCCUAUUUACUCUUCGAGUAUAUAAAUUCUGUAUAACGCUUUGCAAUUUGCUUCGUUUGACAUUUACUAUACUCCAAGUAAAUGUCAAACGAAGCAAAUUGCAAAGCGUUAUACAGAUUCUCCAGACAAUCCGUAAUAUAAAGCUGAGACUUCCCAUGGCAAUUCUACAGUUUAAGGAACGCCUGCAUCGAGAUGAGAUCUGUUUUGUUUGUAUUCACCGCAGCACUGCGUAAGUUUUGUUGACGGCAAAAAAGUGUGAAUUGAACUAUAAAAUACUUAUUUGGAAUAGUUUUGUGGGGCAACGUGGCAGGAACGGAAGCACCAAAGGCAAAAGCUCCACAAAUAUUAGAGCCAUCCGAACGAAGCGGUGGCGGAUUGUCCCCAAAAUCUCCACAAAUAUUAGAGCCAUCCGAACGAAGCGGUGGCGGAUUGUCCCCAAAGGCACCACAAAUUUUAGAGCCAGCUGGUUAGAGCCCUGCGGUUGACUAUUGAUAGGGAGUUAAAGAUAGUCACGAACUCGCUAUGGAGGAGGCUUUCACGCAGAGAAGGCACAAAUCAAAACCAUUUAUAUUUUAUAAUCACACUGUAUGCCUUGGCAUGAAUAAAUAUAAUCCCUGAGCAUC